UCCCUCCCCUAUCUGGUCUGAAAAGACUUAAGAAGACCAUUAUCAAUAGAUGACGGUGUACUCUCUGAUGAGAGUGGUAUUGCACUAUCUAUAGGGGUCACUCAUGGCUAAGUAAUGUCAUGACUAUAGAUAUUUAUUAGGACGACUAUAGUUGGUGCGAUUGUAUUCAUAGAUCGUACCAUGGUUUGGCCAGCCAGAUGUUGGCCUUAGCAAAUUGUCGUAUCUGUAUCUAUAUAUGUAUCUGAUCUGAUCAUUCCACUUGUAUAGUAGAAAAUCUGUAUCUACCCUCCAAGAUGGAAGUUUGUAACAACUUCACGAAGUAUGAUAUGAAAUAUAUGUGCAUUUCAUGAUUUAUUUGAUUUUCUCUAUUAUCUGGCAUAAUGUAUAUAUGAUCUUCU
Molecule: long non-coding RNA, 398 nt
Filed under: Carica papaya (papaya)
Lineage: Eukaryota; Viridiplantae; Streptophyta; Magnoliopsida; Brassicales; Caricaceae
Description: long non-coding RNA (CPAP_LNC009761)
Source: RNAcentral